UGGUCUCUCAGGAAGCUACAGACUUGA
Molecule: non-coding RNA, 27 nt
Filed under: Rattus norvegicus (Norway rat)
Lineage: Eukaryota; Metazoa; Chordata; Mammalia; Rodentia; Muridae
Source: RNAcentral